Molecule: transfer RNA, 84 nt
Filed under: Pseudomonas pohangensis
Lineage: Bacteria; Pseudomonadati; Pseudomonadota; Gammaproteobacteria; Pseudomonadales; Pseudomonadaceae
Rfam family: tRNA
About the family: Transfer RNA (tRNA) molecules are approximately 80 nucleotides in length. Their secondary structure includes four short double-helical elements and three loops (D, anti-codon, and T loops). Further hydrogen bonds mediate the characteristic L-shaped molecular structure. tRNAs have two regions of fundamental functional importance: the anti-codon, which is responsible for specific mRNA codon recognition, and the 3' end, to which the tRNAs corresponding amino acid is attached (by aminoacyl-tRNA synthetases). tRNAs cope with the degeneracy of the genetic code in two manners: having more than one tRNA (with a specific anti-codon) for a particular amino acid; and 'wobble' base-pairing, i.e. permitting non-standard base-pairing at the 3rd anti-codon position.
Source: Rfam by way of RNAcentral
GCCCCGAUGGUGAAAUUGGUAAACACAGCAGACUUAAAAUCUGCCGACUUAACGGUCUUACCGGUUCGAUUCCGGUUCGGGGCA